RNAcentral lists this ribosomal RNA (529 nucleotides) under uncultured bacterium. Its description in RNAcentral is "bacterial SSU rRNA". It matches the Rfam family "Bacterial small subunit ribosomal RNA", at positions 980 to 1509 of the family's 1533-position model. The record is from RNAcentral.
CUUGACAUCCAGCGAACUUGGCAGAGAUGCCUUGGUGCCUUCGGGAACGCUGAGACAGGUGCUGCAUGGCUGUCGUCAGCUCGUGUUGUGAAAUGUUGGGUUAACGUCCGCAACGAGCGCAACCCUUAUCCUUUGUUGCCAGCGAUUCGGUCGGGAACUCAAAGGAGACUGCCGGUGAUAAACCGGAGGAAGGUGGGGAUGACGUCAAGUCAUCAUGGCCCUUACGAGUAGGGCUACACACGUGCUACAAUGGCGCAUACAAAGAGAAGCGACCUCGCGAGAGCAAGCGGACCUCAUAAAGUGCGUCGUAGUCCGGAUCGGAGUCUGCAACUCGACUCCGUGAAGUCGGAAUCGCUAGUAAUCGUGGAUCAGAAUGCCACGGUGAAUACGUUCCCGGGCCUUGUACACACCGCCCGUCACACCAUGGGAGUGGGUUGCAAAAGAAGUAGGUAGCUUAACCUUCGGGAGGGCGCUUACCACUUUGUGAUUCAUGACUGGGGUGAAGUCGUAACAAGGUAGGCGUAGACGU